This 245-nucleotide ribosomal RNA is filed under the name uncultured bacterium. Its description in RNAcentral is "partial 16S ribosomal RNA". It matches the Rfam family "Bacterial small subunit ribosomal RNA", at positions 524 to 768 of the family's 1533-position model. The record is from RNAcentral.
UACGUAGGGGGCGAGCGUUGUCCGGAAUUAUUGGGCGUAAAGCGCACGCAGGCGGUUCGCCAAGUUCGCAGUGACAAUCUCCGGCUUAACCGGGGAACGAUUGCGAAAACUGGCGGACUUGAGAGUGAGAGAGGGACAUGGAACUCCGGGUGGAGCAGUGAAAUGCGUAGAGAUCCGGAAGAACACCUAAGGCGAAGGCAGUGUCCUGGCUCAUGUCUGACGCUCAGGUGCGAAAGCUAGGGGAG